Molecule: ribosomal RNA, 729 nt
Filed under: uncultured eukaryote
Lineage: Eukaryota
Description: SSU rRNA
Rfam family: Eukaryotic small subunit ribosomal RNA
Source: RNAcentral
CGCGUGUACUGGUCCGGCCGGGCCUUUCCUUCUGGAGAUCCCCAUGCCCUUCACUGGGUGUGUGGGGGAACCAAGACUUUUACUUUGAAAAAAUUAGAGUGUUCAAAGCAGGCCUUUGCUCAAAUACUUUAGCAUGGAAUAAUAAAAUAAGACGUGCGGUCCUAUUUUGUUGGUUUCUAAGACCGCUGUAAUGAUUAAUAGGGAUAGUCGGGGGCAUCAGUAUUCAAUUGUCAGAGGUGAAAUUCUUGGAUUUAUUGAACACUAACUACUGCGAAAGCAUUUGCCAAGGAUGUUUUCAUUAAUCAGUGAACGAAAGUUAGGGGAUCGAACACUAUCAUAUACCGUCAUACUCUUAACCGUAAACUAUGCCCACUAGGGAUCGGGCGAUGUUUCUUUCUUGACUCUCUCGGCACCUUACGAGAAAUCAAAGUUUUUGGGUUUUGGGGGGAGUAUGGUCGCAGGCUGACACUUAAAGAAAUUGAGAGAGGGGCACCACCGGGCGUGGAGCCUGCCGCUUAAUUUGACUCAACACGGGGAAACUCUCCAGGUCCAGAUGAAAUAAGGAUUGACAGAUUGAGAGCUCUUUUUUGAUUUUUCAGGUGGUGGUGCAUGGCCGUUCUUAGUUGGUGGAGUGAUUUGUUGGCUUAAUUACGAUAACGAACGAGACCUCAACAUCCUAAAUAGCCACCCUAGCUUUGGCUGUCGCCGGCUUCUUUGAGGGACGAUCGG